GUAGCCAGUAUCUAUAAUAAAGAGGUACAUACUGACUGGAAUAGUUAUUCAUUUUAUCAUAUACUAAAGGUCAUAUAAGAGACUAUACUAGAUAUCAGCUACUGAAUGAUGAAUACCUUCCAGUGUUUGGUCCUUGUUGCUGCUAUUGGAUUCAUGAUUACUACUACAGAGGCUCUACGAAAAAAGCAUUGUUGCCAUGAUACAGAAUGCAGGAAUACUGUAUCUUUAUCUGAUGACUGCUGUAGUAUCCCUGGAGUACAAUCUUAUAUGUUAUUUUAUGAUAAUGGUUUUAUGUACUGCUACCAGUGCAAGUAGCUGAGGGAAAGAAGCUCUGAGAAGGAAAGACUCUGUACU
Amphimedon queenslandica is the source of this 354-nucleotide long non-coding RNA. RefSeq lists it as uncharacterized. The transcript is spliced from 2 exons. The record is from RefSeq and is a predicted model, not a curated record. NCBI's taxonomy places the organism in Eukaryota, Metazoa, Porifera, Demospongiae, Haplosclerida, Niphatidae.